GAUGAACGCUGGCGGCGUGCCUAAUACAUGCAAGUCGAGCGAACAGACGAGGAGCUUGCUCCUUUGACGUUAGCGGCGGACGGGUGAGUAACACGUGGGUAACCUACCUAUAAGACUGGGAUAACUUCGGGAAACCGGAGCUAAUACCGGAUAAUAUUUCGAACCGCAUGGUUCGACAGUGAAAGAUGGCUCUGCUAUCACUUAUAGAUGGACCUGCGCCGUAUUAGCUAGUUGGUAAGGUAACGGCUUACCAAGGCAACGAUACGUAGCCGACCUGAGAGGGUGAUCGGCCACACUGGAACUGAGACACGGUCCAGACUCCUACGGGAGGCAGCAGUAGGGAAUCUUCCGCAAUGGGCGAAAGCCUGACGGAGCAACGCCGCGUGAGUGAUGAAGGUCUUCGGAUCGUAAAACUCUGUUAUUAGGGAAGAACAAACGUGUAAGUAACUGUGCACGUCUUGACGGUACCUAAUCAGAAAGCCACGGCUAACUACGUG
This 497-nucleotide ribosomal RNA is filed under the name uncultured bacterium. Its description in RNAcentral is "partial 16S ribosomal RNA". It matches the Rfam family "Bacterial small subunit ribosomal RNA", at positions 28 to 507 of the family's 1533-position model. The record is from RNAcentral.